This 76-nucleotide transfer RNA is filed under the name Oscillospiraceae bacterium. RNAcentral describes it as "tRNA-Met". It matches the Rfam family "tRNA". From Rfam's summary of the family: Transfer RNA (tRNA) molecules are approximately 80 nucleotides in length. Their secondary structure includes four short double-helical elements and three loops (D, anti-codon, and T loops). Lineage: Bacteria; Bacillati; Bacillota; Clostridia; Eubacteriales; Oscillospiraceae. The record is from RNAcentral.
CGCGGGGUAGAGCAGUUGGUAGCUCGUCGGGCUCAUAACCCGGAGGUCGCUGGUUCGAGUCCAGUCCCCGCAACCA